CUUGCUUCCGCUGACGACCGGCGCACGGGUGCGUAACGCGUAUGAAACCUACCUUUUACAGGGGAAUAGCCCAGAGAAAUUUGGAUUAAUGCCCCAUGGUUCUAUAAUAUUGCAUAAUAUAAUAGAUAAAGCUUCGGCGGUAAAAGAUGGUCAUGCGUGACAUUAGAUUGUUGGUGAGGUAACGGCUCACCAAGUCGACGAUGUCUAGGGGUUCUGAGAGGAAGGUCCCCCACACUGGUACUGAGACACGGACCAGACUCCUACGGGAGGCAGCAGUGAGGAAUAUUGGUCAAUGGACGCAAGUCUGAACCAGCCAUGUCGCGUGCAGGAAGACGGUCCUAUGGAUUGUAAACUGCUUUUAUACGGGAAUAAAUAGAUCUACGAGUAGAUUUUUGAAGGUACCGUAUGAAUAAGGAUCGGCUAACUCCGUGCCAGCAGCCGCGGUAAUACGGAGGAUCCGAGCGUUAUCCGGAUUUAUUGGGUUUAAAGGGUGCGUA
Molecule: ribosomal RNA, 497 nt
Filed under: uncultured Bacteroidota bacterium
Lineage: Bacteria; Pseudomonadati; Bacteroidota
Description: bacterial SSU rRNA
Rfam family: Bacterial small subunit ribosomal RNA
Source: RNAcentral